AACUGACUCGGAAGCAACUUCAAACAAAUCGAAGAUUUAUUAAGAGAGGUAAAGAGAGAGUUUUACAAGUUAGACGCAUGCAGAAUAACUUGAGGAUAUAAAUACCUUACAAAAAUUAUACCGUAGAAUAAGAAGAGGAUGAUCACUGUCGCUUGUUGUGAAAAUGUCCAAUUCUUAGUGUGACUUCUACAAAUGGAGAUUCGGUCAGUUCUCAACACUUUGUAGAGAAGUUUUCUUUAUCAAUCGAUAUAAUCUUCCUUUCACCGAUGAUUGAAGAAACCAACAAUAUUUCUUCUUAUUAUGUUCCUCUUUUUUGUAUCUCUUUGCUGAUCCACAGUUUUCUCUUCUCUUCUCUCGAUCUCAGCAGCAACUUUUACUACAUCUUUUUUCGUAUCAAGCACACCGAGCAACUCUCGGAGACGUCUGGUCUACUUCAAGACUCAGGAGCGACUUACCUUUUUCUCAGGGAGAAGUUUUAACCUCUCCCCUUCCUUGCUGGAGAUAAGGAAAACAAACCAAUAAUUUUUUUUCUGUGUUGUUUAUAAUUUAAUAAACAAUUUCUCGUCCUUUCACAUCGAGUUAUAGCGACACCUGCAUGUAAUAAGAUCGUUUUUGUCUCAAC
Molecule: long non-coding RNA, 622 nt
Filed under: Androctonus crassicauda
Lineage: Eukaryota; Metazoa; Arthropoda; Arachnida; Scorpiones; Buthidae
Source: RNAcentral